This 386-nucleotide long non-coding RNA is filed under the name Lupinus mutabilis. Its description in RNAcentral is "partial ncRNA". Lineage: Eukaryota; Viridiplantae; Streptophyta; Magnoliopsida; Fabales; Fabaceae. The record is from RNAcentral.
CCGGUUGUUACUUCAGUAGCUUCCGCAAGUGUCGAAACUCCAGGAUCAACGGGAAGUUUCUUAUCAGCCAAUAUGCACGGAGCAGCGGAAGCCUCUUCAGCUCACCUUGGGUCAAUGUAUUCUCGCGUAGGUGUUUCAAGUCAUGCUUAUGAAUGGACUUUCAAUAUGAAUCAUUCUCCACAUGUACCAAUUAAAACCGAAGUAACCUCGGGAGUAAACCAUCUUUCUUAUCCUACAUCUUGUUGGGAUGUUCAUCCAGCAGCAUCGGCAGCGUCAGGUUCGUGGCUACAUGACAUGUCGGGAGCAUCCAGUCUUCACUCAGCAGCUGCAUCUUUAGGAUCAACCAAUUACGGAAGUUCAGCUGAUUACGGUCUCGGGUCAACCCU